RNAcentral lists this unclassified non-coding RNA (322 nucleotides) under Hevea brasiliensis (rubber tree). The record is from RNAcentral. Lineage: Eukaryota; Viridiplantae; Streptophyta; Magnoliopsida; Malpighiales; Euphorbiaceae.
UCAUCAUCAUCAUCAUCAUCAAAAAAAGAUAAGCCAGUGUCAGAAUUAUGUCUUCUAAUGCUCAAAUAGGCUUCGAUUCCAACCAUGACUCUCUCAAUCUCCUCAGGAACUUGCUCAACAAAUUCUAAUCCUCCCCAUGGUAGACAGGAUAAAAUGCAAGUUACAUAAAAGUCUCCACGUGCUUGCCAGGAGGGAUUUCCUUUCUCCUCAUCCACUGUUGUGGCAGCAGAUGACAAUAAGGUUUCAAAGACAACCACCAAAGAAGCUGGUUGGAGAACUUUACUGCACAUCAUUGCAGUAAGAAAGCGCAUCAAAAUGCGAA